Molecule: long non-coding RNA, 226 nt
Filed under: Elaeis guineensis (African oil palm)
Lineage: Eukaryota; Viridiplantae; Streptophyta; Magnoliopsida; Arecales; Arecaceae
Description: long non-coding RNA (EGUI_LNC032476)
Source: RNAcentral
UGUAGGAGGAUGGAAGGUAGAGGAUGAAGUGCUUUGAGAUUCAUGUAAGUGAAUAGGUGAUAGAAGACUAAGUGCUUUAAGAUUUGUGCAAGCAGCUAAGGAUAGAGUGCUUUAAGAAUUAUGUAAUCAGAUAAAUGAUAGAGAAUGGAGGGCUUUAAAAUUUGUGUAGAUGAAUGAAUGAUAGAAGAUCGAGCACUUUGAGAUUUGUACAAAUGAAUGGAUCACA